GCUCUUUCAAGAACUGUAGGAAUGUGAUCUUCAGGACUUUUGAUUUUCUCCACUUGCACCUCAAGAUAUCAAAGAAAAAUACAUUAAAAAUAAUCUCAAAUCUCAUUUGAAGUUAAGUUAUAAACAAAGCAUGAACACCAUAAACUUUCAAACUUUUGUACCCCAAGAAAGACUCAAGAUUAAACUUACUACUCCUUUUAACACAAUUUCCGUCUCUGUGUCACCUGAUGGAUAAACAACUCCUGGGCAAUCAAUCAAGAAAAUGCGCCGCAUCAAAGUAAUGUACUGCCACACCUAAAAAGUUGAAGAAAAUAACUU
This is a long non-coding RNA of Erpetoichthys calabaricus (reedfish), 318 nucleotides long. RefSeq lists it as uncharacterized. The transcript is spliced from 2 exons. Lineage: Eukaryota; Metazoa; Chordata; Cladistia; Polypteriformes; Polypteridae. The record is from RefSeq and is a predicted model, not a curated record.